Molecule: ribosomal RNA, 253 nt
Filed under: uncultured bacterium
Lineage: Bacteria
Description: partial 16S ribosomal RNA
Rfam family: Bacterial small subunit ribosomal RNA
Source: RNAcentral
UACAGAGGGGGCAAGCGUUGUUCGGAAUUACUGGGCGUAAAGGGCGCGUAGGCGGCCUUCUAAGUCGAACGUGAAAUCCCCGGGCUCAACCCGGGAACUGCGUCCGAUACUGGAAGGCUUGAAUCCGGGAGAGGGAUGCGGAAUUCCAGGUGUAGCGGUGAAAUGCGUAGAUAUCUGGAGGAACACCGGUGGCGAAGGCGGCUUCCUGGGCCGACACUGACGCUGAGGCGCGAAAGCUAGGGGAGCAAACGGG